RNAcentral lists this ribosomal RNA (497 nucleotides) under uncultured bacterium. RNAcentral describes it as "partial 16S ribosomal RNA". It matches the Rfam family "Bacterial small subunit ribosomal RNA", at positions 28 to 507 of the family's 1533-position model. The record is from RNAcentral.
GAUGAACGCUGGCGGCGUGCCUAAUACAUGCAAGUCGAGCGAACAGACGAGGAGCUUGCUCCUCUGACGUUAGCGGCGGACGGGUGAGUAACACGUGGAUAACCUACCUAUAAGACUGGGAUAACUUCGGGAAACCGGAGCUAAUACCGGAUAAUAUAUUGAACCGCAUGGUUCAAUAGUGAAAGACGGUUUUACUGUCACUUAUAGAUGGAUCCGCGCCGCAUUAGCUAGUUGGUAAGGUAACGGCUUACCAAGGCAAUGAUGCGUAGCCGACCUGAGAGGGUGAUCGGCCACACUGGAACUGAGACACGGUCCAGACUCCUACGGGAGGCAGCAGUAGGGAAUCUUCCGCAAUGGGCGAAAGCCUGACGGAGCAACGCCGCGUGAGUGAUGAGGGUCUUCGGAUCGUAAAACUCUGUUAUUAGGGAAGAACAAAUGUGUAAGUAACUAUGCACGUCUUGACGGUACCUAAUCAGAAAGCCACGGCUAACUACGUG